GCUACAGCUAUGCCUAUACUCUGUGAAUCUGGGGUUACGCUAUGGUUACGUUACCUAACCAACAUUGUUGCUGUGGUACCACCUGUUACUCAAAGUGGCCAUGCCCUUAAUUAUGCAUAACUUUAAGCCUUAAUAAAAAUUUAACGAGUGAGUUAUAUAAAAAUUCACCCCCUGUACAGUUGUUGUGAACAAGGAAAUUAGCUGUAGAGACCAAAACCGUUUUUUGUACCAAGGUGCAAACAUGUUUUUUUUCUGCUGUAAAGUUGGGCAUUUUAACAUGGGGGUCUGUGGGGAUUGACUCGCUUUCAGAGCCAGAGGUGUAACUACAAAAAGGCAUUAAAACUGUUUUUCUCAAAGCCCAGGAAAAUUAAAUGUAGUGGUGGAAAGUACCUAAGCACAUUUACUGAAGUACUGUGAUUAAAUACAAUUUUGAGGUAUUUAAAAAACAGUUUGAGGCUCAGAAGGUAAAAUUAUCCAAUGUUUUACAAAAAGGGAAAGAUUUGUUUAGCAGAACUUAUUUUUUUCUUCUUUACUAUCCCAACACCUAGGAGACGGGACACAUGUACAAACACACUCAAAUGCAUAGUUGACAAGAAAAGUUUUUUUUUAAUUAAAGCAUACUUUGAAGACCAUCUAACUCUUAACAGGUAAGUACUGAACUAGAAAUUAUUUUACAUGUUAACUAGCUAGCAUAGUGGUUACCUUGAUAAUAACAAAUGAAUUGUUAAAAAAAGAAUUUGUAUGCUCAUUCAAAUUUGACCUUUUCACAUCUCCUUGAAACAAGACAGACAACAUCUGCAAUUGUGGGUGCUUAUCAAAAACUGAAGACACUCAUCAGCCAGACAUCUCUGUUACUAAAAUCAGAAUUUCUGGUCCACCAUAAAGCCAAAAAAAAGUGGGCUGCCCACAAGCCGUGCAGUAAGACUGCCCAGGAGGAGCUCCUUGACUUGGAGAGGGAGAAAGUGCAGCUGAUGAGAGAACAACUGGUAAUAGAAAAGAAAAGGUUGACAUUGGACAGAGCGAAAUUUGAAUUCAUGAAGGAACAUUGUAAAAGACAGGAAGCUCAAAGGCAUAACGAUUUUGAUUUAUUUGAAAUGUAGGAUAAAAAGAUGAAAAAUAAGAAUAUAUGUUGUUGUGGACAUUGUAUUGUAUUGGUUAAAUAAUAUAUUUAUUUAAUCUUCCUGAAUUUAAUGUUUUACAUCAAAAAUGAAAGUGAAGUUGUUUCCAGUGUUCCUGCCA
This is a long non-coding RNA of Thunnus maccoyii (southern bluefin tuna), 1239 nucleotides long. RefSeq lists it as uncharacterized. Lineage: Eukaryota; Metazoa; Chordata; Actinopteri; Scombriformes; Scombridae. The transcript has 2 exons. The record is from RefSeq and is a predicted model, not a curated record.